Molecule: non-coding RNA, 921 nt
Organism: Salvelinus sp. IW2-2015
Lineage: Eukaryota; Metazoa; Chordata; Actinopteri; Salmoniformes; Salmonidae
Source: RefSeq, a predicted model, not a curated record
GUAUCAGGAGACACUGGAGCCAGAGGGCCAGAGGGAAGGAAGGGGGAUGUSGGUCUGAUGGGAGCUGCUGGGCCUUGUGCCUCUCCUGGACAAGAUGGGUUACCAGGGAAAUCAGGAGAGCUUGGAUACCCAGGGAAACCUGGGAAGCCACCAACUGAUGACCACUUGAUGAAGCUUUGCGCUAAUGUACUUCCGAGUAUGUUCCCUGCUAUUUUUUUUAUGCAUGACUAUUAUCUGUUGUAUGGAUUAUUGAAGAUUUAGACUGUUUCAAAUGAUAGACUCCAGAAUGCUUGCUAGGAAUGAAGGCAUUAGGCAAUCAUUGAUUGUUUUUAUUUUUUCACCAAGUGCACGUAUCCAGGGCAUUUCGAAAUAGUGAGGAUGUUCGUAAUUGUAGAUCUAAGAAAGCAUACAGCAGCAUCCUGUURGUCUACACAUCAUAACAGCAUGUUCACUGAACUACCCYCUGGAAACAUCUGGAGCACUAGUGCAGCUUUCAUUUCUGCAUUUUGGAGAAAAAAAACACACAUCCUCUGCAACGUACMUUGUUGCCUAAUCUCUGUGUCUGGGUAGAACUCAGUACAUGUUUCUAUUUUAGACCACAAGUCUUGGAGAUACAUAAUAACAUGCCGACAGUARUGAUGAAAAUCUGAAUCUGGCUCCGAACUAAACAAAUGCAUAGACCUACUAUUCAUUGGAACAAUGUAUAUGACAAAAUAGCAACAAUACAGCUCGUAUGGUGUUGCCUGGCUAUGCAAACUCUGUGCUCCAGCCAAACGCUACAAUACGCCCACGAAUGUUAGUUUCUUCUCCGCAAUGGGUCUAGAUCUGAGUACCUUCCCGACGAUUUCUAGAAGGCAAACACAUUCUAACCGUUCUGAUUGGUCCCAUAAAUCGAUGGUUUGGUUUGUCGGCCACAAAUAA